UCACUCUUGUAGACGAUCUCGAUAUUAUAUGCUAUCCAACGUUCCUUCUGCCCUGAACAAAAGCUGGUUCCAUUAAGAGCAGAUGCCUUCAUUCUUAAUCCUAUCUUUCCACGGUGCAGCCAUUCAUCCUUCUUAAUACUCAUAUGAGCAUGCUGCUUCUAAACAACAACACCAACAACAGUGACAUGAAUAACCAUCUAUAAUUGGGCGGAAUAAAUAAGAAACAUCGAUCUACAAACAUUCUUGCAAUCCAACUUAAUCCAUCUAACAUUAACCUGUUCAGCACAAUCGUCACUCUCGCAAUCAUUUUUCAUAAUCAAGCAAUGAUACUAAAAAUGCUCCAUCUCACCAAUCUUUCUUAAGCCCCAUAACUCCUAAUUGUUAUUCUAUAAUAUUAUUGAGAAGUCUUAUAGCAUUCCACUUUGUCGUUACAAUUGAUUAAACUUCCUGUGAUUUAGAGUACAACGGUUGUUUCACAUGGUAUCAGAGCAGGAGGUCCUGAGUUCGAGUCACGUCUGGGCUCGAGACUUUUUAAUUGGCCUAUGACGUGGGCUUGAAUUAAAUGGAAGGAAAUUAAUAUGCUAGGAGCCUGGCGUGACUCGAACUCAGGACCUCCAGCUCUGAUACCAUGUGAAACAACCGUUGUACUCUAAAAGCUUAAGCUUUCAGAGUACAACGGGUGUUUCACACUAACUGAUUCACCAUCAUCUCUCCUUACAACAAUCCCAGAUCUUAGAGUCCCUUUGAUAGUUCAGUGAUAAUCUGGGUGCAUAUUCUAAAUCCAUUGUAAGUUCAUGAUUCAAUUCAUCAAGUUCAAUUGUUUUUUCUCAGCAAGUAACGCAAUCUUCCCAAAUCCCAAAUGAAACCCUAAUUUUCAUGAAACCGAACGCGCAAAAAUAACUAGAAAAAAAGCUAUGCAUUACGGAAAACUUUUUCUUCGAGAAUUUUUUUUUUCAUGAUUUUCCAAGUCGCGGUAUCGAGAUAGUACAGGGACUAUCUCAUACAUUUCACCCUUAAAUUUCUAACCACAAAUAAAAAACAAAAAAGAAAAAAAUAAAAAACUUAAAAAAACCCUAAUUUUGUUGCUAAUUAACCACCCUAAAUAAAUAAAUUAAUUAAUAAUAACCUAAUUAAUUAGCUAACUAUUUUUAGCAAACACAUACACACAUGCAGCCACUAUAAAACCUGGCCUCCACCCCUCUCCUUUUCCCCUCAAGCCUGCAGUUAGAUUGAGGUCCAGUCUUCCCUCACCAAUAAAAUUCCGAAACCGCAAUAAAGUGCAGGCUUCCGCGGUCUCAGUCCGGUCGACGCAUAUAAAUAUAUUUUUUUAUAUCGCGAUGGAGAUGAAGAAGAUCGCCUGCGCCGCUCUCGUCGCCGCCGCAUCCGCCACCGCCGCUCUCGCCAACGACGCGGCGGCAGCUCCCGCGCCUGGACCCGCCAGCGGAGCCCUCGCGGCCGCCCCCGCCGUCGGCACCGUCGUCGGCGCCGCCCUCCUCUCCUUCCUUGCUUACUGCUUGCACUGAAAUUCCCCUCGAUCUCUCCUGAGCCCUGAUCACCAUGAGAGAGAAAUUAAUGUAUGGAGGAGAGAGAGAGAGAGAGGUUAUGAUGAGAGUUUAAUUAGCUUAUUAUGAAGUAAUGAU
RNAcentral lists this long non-coding RNA (1640 nucleotides) under Ananas comosus (pineapple). RNAcentral describes it as "long non-coding RNA (ACOM_LNC033034)". The record is from RNAcentral. Lineage: Eukaryota; Viridiplantae; Streptophyta; Magnoliopsida; Poales; Bromeliaceae.